Molecule: ribosomal RNA, 2936 nt
Filed under: Tissierella praeacuta
Lineage: Bacteria; Bacillati; Bacillota; Tissierellia; Tissierellales; Tissierellaceae
Description: partial 23S ribosomal RNA
Rfam family: Bacterial large subunit ribosomal RNA
Source: RNAcentral
AUAGGUCAAGUUAUUAAGGGCGUAGGGCGAAUGCCUUGGCACCAAGAGCCGAUGAAGGACGGGAUAAGCACCGAUAUGCUUCGGGGAGUCGCAAAUAGACUGUGAUCCGGAGAUUUCCGAAUGGGGAAACCUACUUGAGUAGACCUCAAGUAUCAUGCACUGAAUAAAUAGGUGUAUGAAGGAAUACCAGGGGAACUGAAACAUCUAAGUACCCUGAGGAGAAGAAAGAAACAUCGAUUUCCUAAGUAGCGGCGAGCGAACGGGAAAGAGCCCAAACCAGUACUUGUACUGGGGUUAAGGACCAGCAAAACGGAAGAGGUAUCCUAGCAGAAGAGGAUUGGAAAAUCCCACCAAAGAAGGUGAAAGUCCAGUAUGCGAAAGGAGAAGACUCCAGCUGGUAUCCAGAGUACCAUGGGGCACGUGAAACCCUGUGGGAAGUAGGGAGGACCACCUCCCAAGGCUAAAUACUCCUUGGUGACCGAUAGAGAAUAGUACCGUGAGGGAAAGGUGAAAAGAACCCCGGGAGGGGAGUGAAAUAGAACCUGAAACCCUACGCCUACAAGCAGUGGAAGCACAUUAUUAGUGUAACCACGUACUUUUUGUAGAACGGGCCAGCGAGUUAUGGUAUAGAGCAAGGUUAAUGACUUAAGGUCAGGAGCCGUAGGGAAACCAAGUCUUAAUAGGGCGAAAAGUUCUAUGCUAUAGACCCGAAACCGGGUGACCUAUCCAUGGGCAGAGUGAAGUUGAAGUAAAAUUCAAUGGAGGCUCGAACUCGUUAGCGUUUAAAAGCUAUGGGAUGACCUGUGGAUAGGGGUGAAAAGCCAAUCGAACUCGGAGAUAGCUGGUUCUCCUCGAAAUAGCUUUAGGGCUAGCCUCAAGUAAAGUGUAAUGGAGGUAGAGCACUGAAUGGUCUAGGGGCGCAUAGCGUUACCAAAACCUAUCAAACUCCGAAUGCCAUAAACAUAUACUUGGGAGUCAGACUAUGUGGGAUAAGCUUCAUAGUCGAAAGGGAAAGAGCCCAGACCACCAGCUAAGGUCCCUAAAUUCUGAUUAAGUGAUAAAGGAUGUGAGGUUUCACAGACAACCAGGAUGUUGGCUUAGAAGCAGCCAUACAUUUAAAGAGUGCGUAAUAGCUCACUGGUCGAGAGACCUUGCGCCGAAGAUUUCCGGGACUCAAAUCAGAUACCGAAGCUGUGGGAUUAGUGUAAACUAAUCGGUAGAGGAGCAUUGUGUAUGGGUAGAAGCUAUACCGAAAGGAGUGGUGGACUAUACACAAGAGAGAAUGCUGGCAUAAGUAGCGCAAGGUAUGUGAGAAUCAUACCCGUCGAAAGCCCAAGGUUUCCUGAGGAAGGCUCGUCCACUCAGGGUAAGUCGGGACCUAAGCCCAGGCUGAAAAGCGUAGGCGAUGGACAACAGGUUGAAAUUCCUGUACUAGUUACAAGCGUUUGAGAGAAGGAGUGACGCAGGAGGAUAGGCUGAGCGUGCCGUUGGUAGAGCACGUCUAAGCAUGUAGGGAGUUAAGAUAGGCAAAUCCGUCUUAACAAUCCUGAGAAGUGAUGGGGAUCGAAAAACAAGUAGAGAAGCAGCUGACUCCACACUGCCAAGAAAAGCUUCUAUCGAGCAAGUAACUACCCGUACCGCAAACCGACACAGGUAGGCGAGGAGAGAAUCCUAAGACGAGCGGAAGAACCAUUGUUAAGGAACUCGGCAAAAUAGCCCCGUAACUUAGGGAGAAGGGGUGCCGGUUGAAGUAUAGAUUAUACAUUGAAAGCUUUGAUCGGCCGCAGUGAAUAGGCCCAAGCGACUGUUUACCAAAAACACAAGUCUCUGCUAAGUCGAAAGACGAAGUAUAGGGGCUGACACCUGCCCGGUGCUGGAAGGUUAAGGGGAAGGGUUAGCAUAAGCGAAGCUCUGAACUUAAGCCCCAGUAAACGGCGGCCGUAACUAUAACGGUCCUAAGGUAGCGAAAUUCCUUGUCGGGUAAGUUCCGACCCGCACGAAAGGUGUAACGAUUUGGGCACUGUCUCAACAAUGGAUCCGGUGAAAUUGUAGUACUCGUGAAGAUGCGAGUUACCCGCGACAGGACGGAAAGACCCCGUGGAGCUUUACUGCAGGCUGACAUUGGAUUUUGGCAUUGCAUGUACAGGAUAGGUGGGAGACUGAGAAACCAGUGCGCCAGUAUUGGUGGAGUCGCCCUUGGGAUACCACUCUUGUAAUGCUGAAAUUCUAACCUGGUACCAUGAAACUGGUAUGGGGACACUGUCAGUUGGGCAGUUUGACUGGGGCGGUCGCCUCCUAAAAAGUAACGGAGGCGCUCAAAGGUUCCCUCAGCACGGUCGGAAAUCGUGCGAAGAGUGUAAAGGCAAAAGGGAGCUUAACUGCGACACCAACAAGUGGAGCAGAAACGAAAGUUGGACUUAGUGAUCCGGUGGUUCCGAGUGGAAGGGCCAUCGCUCAACGGAUAAAAGCUACCCCGGGGAUAACAGGCUUAUCUCCCCCAAGAGUCCACAUCGACGGGGAGGUUUGGCACCUCGAUGUCGGCUCGUCUCAUCCUGGGGCUGGAGUAGGUCCCAAGGGUUGGGCUGUUCGCCCAUUAAAGAGGCACGCGAGCUGGGUUCAGAACGUCGUGAGACAGUUCGGUCCCUAUCCGUCGUGGGCGUAGGAAAUUUGAGAGGAGCUGUCCUUAGUACGAGAGGACCGGGAUGGACAGACCGCUGGUGUAUCAGUUGUCAUGCCAAUGGCACGGCUGAGUAGCUAAGUCUGGAAGGGAUAAGUGCUGAAGGCAUCUAAGCACGAAGCCCCCCUCAAGAUGAGAUUUCCCACUUUUAAAGGUAAGACUCCAAGAAGACCACUUGGUAGAUAGGUCUCAGGUGUAAGAGUAGCAAUACUUUAAGCUAAGAGAUACUAAUAAGUCGAGGACUUGACCUAAAACAUGU